CAAGGUUAUGUAGUGAUACAUAACUGCCUCCGCAGAAGUCAGCAGAGGCCAUAGUACUUUUUUUUAGAAGGAAGGGC
Molecule: non-coding RNA, 77 nt
Filed under: Pedobacter sp. ok626
Lineage: Bacteria; Pseudomonadati; Bacteroidota; Sphingobacteriia; Sphingobacteriales; Sphingobacteriaceae
Source: RNAcentral